UUGACCUCAAAUCAGGUAGGACUACCCGCUGAACUUAAGCAUAUCAAUAAGCGGAGGAAAAGAAACUAACAAGGAUUCCCCUAGUAACUGCGAGUGAAGCGGGAAAAGCUCAAAUUUUGAAUCUGGCAGUCUUAAUUGAUUGUCCGAAUUGUAAUCUAGAGAAGCGUCUUCCGCGCUGGACCGUGUACAAGUCUCCUGA
Molecule: ribosomal RNA, 199 nt
Filed under: Octaviania decimae
Lineage: Eukaryota; Fungi; Basidiomycota; Agaricomycetes; Boletales; Boletaceae
Also listed under: 1 other name
Description: partial 28S ribosomal RNA
Rfam family: Eukaryotic large subunit ribosomal RNA
Source: RNAcentral